RNAcentral lists this ribosomal RNA (279 nucleotides) under uncultured Lachnospiraceae bacterium. RNAcentral describes it as "partial 16S ribosomal RNA". It matches the Rfam family "Bacterial small subunit ribosomal RNA", at positions 67 to 339 of the family's 1533-position model. The record is from RNAcentral. Lineage: Bacteria; Bacillati; Bacillota; Clostridia; Lachnospirales; Lachnospiraceae.
UUUGAUUUCUUCGGGAUGAAGAGCUUAGUGACUGAGCGGCGGACGGGUGAGUAACGCGUGGGUAACCUGCCUCAUACAGGGGGAUAACAGUUAGAAAUGACUGCUAAUACCGCAUAAGACCACAGCACCGCAUGGUGCAGGGGUAAAAACUCCGGUGGUAUGAGAUGGACCCGCGUCUGAUUAGUUAGUUGGUGGGGUAACGGCCUACCAAGGCGACGAUCAGUAGCCGACCUGAGAGGGUGACCGGCCACAUUGGGACUGAGACACGGCCCAAACUCC